GGGUUCUAUGAAAGAAGAGAUGGUUAGUAGUCCCCAGGACAAAAGUGCAAGAAGCCAUUGGGCCUUAUAACAUGUACAGGGUUAAGGCAUUGCCACCUACUUUGUGGUAUCUAACCAGUUUUUAUU
This 126-nucleotide non-coding RNA is filed under the name Procavia capensis (Cape rock hyrax). The record is from RNAcentral. Lineage: Eukaryota; Metazoa; Chordata; Mammalia; Hyracoidea; Procaviidae.